This is a non-coding RNA of Schistosoma curassoni, 37 nucleotides long. The record is from Rfam. NCBI's taxonomy places the organism in Eukaryota, Metazoa, Platyhelminthes, Trematoda, Strigeidida, Schistosomatidae.
AUCGAGUCCCAAAUAGGACGAAAUGUGCGUCCUGGAU